Cervus hanglu yarkandensis (Yarkand deer) is the source of this 104-nucleotide small nuclear RNA. NCBI's taxonomy places the organism in Eukaryota, Metazoa, Chordata, Mammalia, Artiodactyla, Cervidae. The record is from Ensembl.
GCGCUCACUUCAACAGCACGUAUACUAAAUUUGGAAAGGUACAGAGAUUAUCAUGGCCCCUGCGCAAGGAUGGCAUGCCAAUUUGCAAAGCAUUCCAUAUUAAA